UCAACCCUCAAGCCCCUCGGCUUGGUUUUGGACGGCCUGGUCGGGCGACCGACCCCUCCUAAAGACAAUGACGGCGGCCUGGAUUGACCCCCGGUACACUGAGCUUCUUAACCGAGCACGUACUGGAUUUCUAGCGGUCGACGGGACCCGGUCUACACCUAUUUUUCUUCAA
RNAcentral lists this unclassified non-coding RNA (172 nucleotides) under uncultured Herpotrichiellaceae. RNAcentral describes it as "sequence contains ITS2". The record is from RNAcentral. Lineage: Eukaryota; Fungi; Ascomycota; Eurotiomycetes; Chaetothyriales; Herpotrichiellaceae.